This is a non-coding RNA of Paramuricea clavata, 198 nucleotides long. The record is from the annotation of a GenBank genome assembly. NCBI's taxonomy places the organism in Eukaryota, Metazoa, Cnidaria, Anthozoa, Malacalcyonacea, Plexauridae.
GUCAACGUGUAUUCAUAAAUAUGGUUAUUCACCGUCACGUGUGUAUUUCUGCCAAAUCCACCAAUAGCAAUUUCCAGUUUCGCUAUUGUUCGAGUCACGGGUAGGUAUAACUUUCCUAAAACAUUGCUAUUGGUUAGUUGGGUAAAAAAAUAAUACACACGUGAUGGUGAAGGACCAGAUUUAUGAAUAAACGUUGAC